Molecule: long non-coding RNA, 203 nt
Filed under: Malus domestica (apple)
Lineage: Eukaryota; Viridiplantae; Streptophyta; Magnoliopsida; Rosales; Rosaceae
Description: long non-coding RNA (MDOM_LNC007567)
Source: RNAcentral
AUGCACGGCUCCAAGAGUUCUUCCUUCUUCUCCUUUGCAAACUCACGGCACAAGAGGUAUAUUUGGGUGAAUGGUGUAGUGAAAAUAUGGUAGAGGAUGGUAACUAAAUGGUGCAGCAAAGGAUGGUAUUUAUAGGCUGAAAUUCGCAGUCCCUAUGUAGCAAAGGAAAAGGAUUUAAAAGCCUAAUUUGUAUAGGAUAAUAA